GGCUGUACAUGAUGACUUGAAAUAAUCAAUGGGAAUCUCUCUGAAAAAAGACUGAGGGAAAUCUUCUACUCCUGAUACAGUG
Rana temporaria (common frog) is the source of this 82-nucleotide small nucleolar RNA. RefSeq annotates it as small nucleolar RNA SNORD79. NCBI's taxonomy places the organism in Eukaryota, Metazoa, Chordata, Amphibia, Anura, Ranidae. The record is from RefSeq and is a predicted model, not a curated record. The transcript has a single exon.